This 713-nucleotide long non-coding RNA is filed under the name Homo sapiens (human). Its description in RNAcentral is "non-protein coding lnc-INAVA-1:10". The record is from RNAcentral. Lineage: Eukaryota; Metazoa; Chordata; Mammalia; Primates; Hominidae.
CUGGAGAAGAGGUCUUGGUGGUAUCCUGGACCUUUUAUUAGCAUUUGAAUCUAGAGGAAGCUCUCCCUGGGGCCAGGGGAUCACCUCUCCUGGACCAGGAGGUUAGCAGAAUGUUGCAGUCAUAUCCUGCAACAUUCCUCCCCAUCUUCCAACCAAAAUAAUUCGUGGGGAGGAGACUAACACAUAUGGACCACCUACACAAGGCUUCCCAGAUGACCACCAAGGUGGAAGGGAUGAUGAUGUCCAGGCAGAAGGGAGCUAGGCCGGCCCAGGCUUUUCCUCUAGGCACAGCGGACUCCAGGUUCAGCCUUCCCGGAUGGUUAGCACUGGGCAUUGGCAUUUGCAAAAAAACUCUAAGCAUUAAGCAAAACUUGUAGGAGUGGAAGAUACAGCGUUCUGGACCUCCAGUCCUAAUACCCAGCCACACCCCAGCAGCUAUGCAUGGUUCCAUGGGAGAGCAGGCAUAGCCCAUCCUGCUGGCAUAUAGUCCAGCCAUAUCUUCCAAUGCCCACCUGGAGACUAAGCCGAGUUCUGCCCAGCAACAGGAGCUCAGAGCUCCAGAGAGCCUCUCCUGGGGUGCAGACUCAGGAGAUCUUAGCUCAGGAGCAGACUUAGCCUGACUUCCUCUUUUAUAGGAGGAGACAGACUUAGUUACAGAGGAAACCAGAGUUGUUAUAAAUAGCAAGGAAGGGAGAAACCUGCUAUGGAUUACA